Balaenoptera acutorostrata (minke whale) is the source of this 3223-nucleotide long non-coding RNA. RefSeq lists it as uncharacterized. The transcript has 3 exons. The record is from RefSeq and is a predicted model, not a curated record. NCBI's taxonomy places the organism in Eukaryota, Metazoa, Chordata, Mammalia, Artiodactyla, Balaenopteridae.
CCCCUGGCGGCUGAGGGGGCGCUGCGGCGCGUAGCCGGGAGCGCCGGGAGCGCGAGGGAAGGGGCUUGGCGAAGGGCCCCAAAGAUGCCCAGACCUUGGUGGCGCCGGCAGUCCCCCUUAACACGCCCGGAGGUUCCCAAAUGACCCAGAACCGCCAGAACGUCCAGAAAUGCUGGCGGGGUUCACCGUCCACGGGGUACAACUUUGGAAACGAUGACGAGAGAGGCGAAGGAAGUAAACUCAAGACCCAAGGAGGAUGAAAGCACGCUAUGCAUGACACCACCACUACAAAGCCCAGAGCCAGAACGGCGGGGAAGGACACUGCUGGAAGGAAAGACUCCACUCUAUGGAGGCUUCACCCACUCCCAGUACCCUGGAGUGGGACCAGGACGACUCUGGUGAAGCAGCCACAGGAUGUUCAGUUCUCAGAACAGAAGCCAGGUGGCAUCCGCUUAACCUGGGCUUUGCAGGGUCUGGUGAUGCUCAAGUCUCAGCCAGAGCAUGUCAGCUGAUUUCCGGUCCAAAGUAUCAGUAGAACUAUACCCACCACAGAGUGCUCAAGAAGCCUUUGCUUCCUUGGAAGCUGCCGUUUCCACGUUUUUAGAUUAGCUACAUAGGCAAUAUCUUUGCCUGGACAUCUAAACAUCGUGGUUCUCGCUGACAGGGCCUUGCUGGGAGGCUCCUUCCCUUACAGAGUACCGAGAUAAUUUUCCUGAAGCAAGGAUGACAUCACUGGCCUGAAGGCGGAUCCAGGCAAUUGCCAAUUGCCCUAUCUGGGGAACAAUCAUUCCUGCAGCUCUGUCACAGCCAGCCCCGUCCCUGGGCUAUGUGUAACCCAGCAACAAGGAUGGACACGGGGACCAGCUGGAUGAGGAAGGUCUGGAGCUAAACUCUCCAAAGAUGCUCAGCCUUUAAUGGAGGAGGCCUUUUAGAAGAGAUCUGGCAAAUUGUCUGCCCUGGCAACUUCACUUUCUGUUCUCUUUUUUAUCUGCUUUCUGUAUUUCCAAUUAAUCUUGGAAUGAGAGCCCAAGGCAAGAAGCCAGCGGUGCCUGAGGAAUGCUAAAGAGCAGACUGAGCCAGGGAAACAAAUGCCAGCGAGGGACCCCACAGCAAAGAGACAGACACCGUGAGCAACUCUCCCGUUACCAUGAGGCUUGCGAGGCGUGUGUGCGGGUCUCCGCGUUGGCACCAUCUGCCAGUUCCUCAGGAGGACAGAACAAACCAGUGAGGCAUGGAGAUUAGAUUAUGUAACGCUCGAGGAUUGCUGUUUUCAAAGAGGAAACAAAUGGAACGAAUUGAUUUGCUUGUCAGAGUCAUGUCACUAAAGGAGACCCGUUCCCUCCUCUUCCAAGAGGACCUCAUUAAAGAGGGUAAUGAUUUUACAGAUUGAGAAAAUGUGAGACCACAGUCGACUCCAUUCACAAGAGCAAGUCCUAUUUCCAGAAUUGCACUGAUAAAUCCUCUUCUGGUCCCCUAUCCUGAAAAAAUGACUAUUCAGCCACUACCUAAAAGAUACCAACACGGCAAAGAACCUAAAUGCCGGUUGCCAGCCACCAGAUUCGGAACCUGGGCGCUUUGCCUGAACUGAACUCUCUUGCUUCUGGGGAAGGAAGCAGCAUCUAAUUUUGAGUCCAGUGGGGUCACAGGUAUAUUCAGAGCUCUAAACAAGUGCUUCUUUGAUAGAGUGGGAAUGUGUUCUUAAAGUACAUGCAUCAGGAAGGAGAAUUCGUUGCAUUUCUGGGAUAAUUUUGUCAUUGCCGGGCUUCUCUCAAAAUGCCCAGCAUAAUACUUUUUAUAGAAUGUUCAGUAGAUCCGAAGAAUGAACGAAUGAUAACCUUGAACCUACUGCCAAAGGGCCAUUCCUAAAGAUACAUUGUCUAAGACACCAAGAUUUAAAUGUCGGGUAUUUAUUCAACUUGGAAAUGAAGCCCGCUGUACCAGAUGUUUUCUAUUUGCCCUUUCCGAUCCACCAUCUAGCCUGGGAUGCUCCCCUGUACAGACUCCAUCAACUUGACCCUCUAGCUUCCAUUUGGGUACAGCCAGCGGGAGGUGGCAGCAGCAGACUGGAGGGCAGAAGGGCAGUGAGGGUGAAGUAUUUAUUUCCCUGGUUCUCUCCCUGCCAGAUCGCCUCAGGUUGGUUAUGUCUUUUGAUAAAAGGUCACUGCUCCCUCUCAAGGCAGCCCUUUCCACACAGCUCUCUUCCUGGGUUCUGGAGUUUCUCCCUCCCUUCAACUUUUAGAUCUAGGAAUGGUAAAGACCCCAGCUAUCCCUAGCCCCCUGGGUACUGCACUACCCCUGUGGCUUCCCUACACUCUACCCAAACCUUUGUAAAUAGUCCGUUUAUUAAAACCUCCUCAAAUUAUCUAAUUUGAAUGUACCAUCUGCUUCUUAUACAGAACCUGACUGAUACACCUACCACACAUGUCAGUCUGUUCCAGGCCCUGCACCACAGUUUAAAAAAAAAAGUGUAGCAAAAUUAAUAAUACAAUAUGCUACUACUUUAUAGUUGUUCUCAGUGUUCACCUUUUCACAAGGCUAUAAUAACAACUUAAAGAUAACACCUAAUUCUUCCUUACAACAUAAUUGUGCAGUAGUGUUUAUAUGAGCUAAAUAUAAUUCGAGAACAAGCUUUUUCAUGCCAUCAAAAUUCAUGUGAACAACUAUAAAGAGAGAAUUGCAGAACUGAUGCCCCCGACUUGAGAUUUAGCAGAUUUAUUGCAAUAUUUAAAUCAACCAUGCAAAUAUUCAAAUGCCUACUACGUGGCCAGAAAGAUGGAAAUCUUACAGUGAGGAAUAACAUCGCCACGGGCUCUGACAUGGUGAAAUGCGGUCUUGUUUUAUGCUGUAAAUGUGUUCCUAAAAAGUUGAAUAGAGAUUGUGUUUCCAUAAAUCAGAUGAUAUGUUGUAUGAUCAGGGGGACCUCACUAAUUGAAUAAUAAUUUGGUAAAAUAAUCACCCUUUGAUCUUUUGAACCAAUUCUGUUUUUUCAUCCAUCUAAAGUACUUCAAAUGAAAUUUAUCUUUAGUCUGUAGGGAGGAUUGGUCUCCUUCCGUGCUCUUGGAAUAGCAGAAAUUGUGAAAUGGAAUUCAGAGGAAAGAUAAGGGAACUACCAUUUAUAGACCACACAUAGAAUGCUAGGCAAUUUGCAUCUGUUAGCACAUUUAAUCCUGGAGGUAAAUGCAUAUUCUACCAUUCCCUUAUUUUCUCCUUCUGAAAAAUAAAA